This is a non-coding RNA of Hippopotamus amphibius kiboko, 72 nucleotides long. Lineage: Eukaryota; Metazoa; Chordata; Mammalia; Artiodactyla; Hippopotamidae. The record is from the annotation of a RefSeq genome assembly.
UCCCUGGAAGUCCAGUGGUUAGGACUCAGUGCUUUGACUGCUGCGGCCCGGGUUCAAUCCCUGGUCAGGGAA